GCCAAACAGCUAGCUUAACAACCAAGUCCUCUCCAACGACAUCCGAAAACUUUCAUUACCCAAAAUCAACAAACUAAAACAUUCUCCUGCCUUAGUACGGGCGACGGAACAGGCAAACCCCAUCUUCAAAGCUAUAGAAAAAGUACCGCAAGGGAAAGCUGAAAGAGAAAUGAAACAACCCCCUCAAGCCCAAAAAAGCAGAGACUACCCCUCGUACCUUUUGCAUCAUGAUUUAGCCAGUCAACUUGAGCAAAGAGAACUUUAGUUCAAAAUCCCGAAACCAAGCGAGCUACUCCGAAACAGCCUUUUAGGGCCAACCCGUCUCUGUGGCAAAAGAGUGGGAAGAUUUCCGAGUAGAGGUGACAAACCUACCGAGCUUGGUGAUAGCUGGUUGCCUAAGAAAUGAAUAUAAGUUCAGCCUCAUACCCCUCAACUCCCAAAAAGCAUCGCCUUACCACCAAGAGCCAGAGAGACAUAUGAGAGUUAGUCAAAAGGGGUACAGCCCUUUUGAAACAGGACACAACCUUACUUAGGAGGCUAAGGAUCAUACUUAACAAGACUACUGCUUCAGUGGGCCUAAAAGCAGCCACCUGUAUAGAAAGCGUUAAAGCUCAGACAGCCAUAAGUCUAUUAUUCUGAUAAAUUUUUCCAACGCCCCUGUCCUUACUAGGCCAUUCUAUGCUAACAUAGAAGAGACCCUGCUAAAAUGAGUAAUAAGAAGGCACGCCCUUCUCCUCGCUUACGUGUAAGUCAGAUCGGACCAACCACUGACAAUUAACGAACCCAACCCAAGAGGGCACUGUGAACACGAAACCUAACCAAGAAAAACACACACACCACAAUCGUUAACCCUACACCGGUAAGCCCCCAGGAAAGACUAAAAAAAAAGGAAGGAACUCGGCAAACACAAGCCUCGCCUGUUUACCAAAAACAUCGCCUUCUGCAAAAAUCAAUGUAUAGAAGGUCCUGCCUGCCCAGUGACUAUUAGUUAAACGGCCGCGGUAUUUUGACCGUGCUAAGGUAGCGCAAUCACUUGUCUUUUAAAUGAAGACCUGUAUGAAUGGUGGAACGAGGGCUUAACUGUCUCCCCUUUUCAGUCAAUGAAAUUGAUCUGUCCGUGCAGAAGCGGACAUAACAAUACAAGACGAGAAGACCCUUUGGAGCUUUAGACACAAGGCCAAUUGCGUUAAUUUAACCCUAACUAAACAGGAAAAAACAAAGCAACUACUGACCCACGUCUUCGGUUGGGGCGACCGCGGGGGAAAACAAAGCCCCCAUGUGGAAUAGGAGCUAUCCUAAGCUAAGAAAGACACUUCCAAGCCACAGAACAUCUGACCAAAAGAUCCGGCAACCGCCGAUCAACGAACCAAGUUACCCUAGGGAUAACAGCGCAAUCCCCUCCAAGAGUUCAUAUCGACAAGGGGGUUUACGACCUCGAUGUUGGAUCAGGACAUCCUAAUGGUGCAGCCGCUAUUAAGGGUUCGUUUGUUCAACGAUUAACAGUCCUACGUGAUCUGAGUUCAGACCGGAGUAAUCCAGGUCAGUUUCUAUCUGUAAUGCCACUCUUCCCAGUACGAAAGGACCGGAAAAAUGAGGCCUAUACUUAAAGCACGCCUCACCUUAACUUGCUGACACCAACUAAACCAAACAAAAAGGGGCGACACCUCAACUCAAGAUAAGAAUAU
RNAcentral lists this ribosomal RNA (1685 nucleotides) under Hepsetus odoe (African pike characin). RNAcentral describes it as "16S rRNA". The stretch from base 85 to 1589 matches the Rfam family "Bacterial large subunit ribosomal RNA". The record is from RNAcentral. Lineage: Eukaryota; Metazoa; Chordata; Actinopteri; Characiformes; Hepsetidae.